Molecule: long non-coding RNA, 429 nt
Filed under: Mytilus galloprovincialis (Mediterranean mussel)
Lineage: Eukaryota; Metazoa; Mollusca; Bivalvia; Mytilida; Mytilidae
Source: RNAcentral
UGUAGAUACUCUUUCCUAAUAGAUUAAGACUGUUAGGUCGUUAAUACUAAUCAGACUUAAGAAAUUGAAUGGGUCUAUAAAUACCGAUGCUAUCUCAAUCUUUAAAGACCAAAAUGUUGUCAAGUGUGUAAAUCGCAUUACAUAAACUACUGUUUAAAGGAAUUAGGUAUUGAUAAUUCACGUGGAAACCUAACAUAUACCCCUACGACACUUACUAAAGAGGAAAUCCUGGAUAAUUAAUCAUAGGUCUGUACUACGUUCCUUUGGAAUUUCAACCAAAGAUGAAGAAGUGGAUCUUUCAACACUGUAUCGGAUAUAUAAACUACAUAAAUGUCUUUACAAACACCGGUAUAUUGCUGGAUCUUUCAAGUACUCCACGAUAACUCUUUCUAAAUUAUCAACAUCAAUUUCAUUAGCAACCAAAGCCGG